UGGGGAGUCGUCCAGCGGCAGGACGGCAGACUCUGGAUCUGCUUACAGGGGUUCAAAUCCUCUCUCCCCAGCCA
This 74-nucleotide transfer RNA is filed under the name Nitrospirae bacterium RBG_13_41_22. Its description in RNAcentral is "tRNA-Gln". It matches the Rfam family "tRNA". Rfam says of the family: Transfer RNA (tRNA) molecules are approximately 80 nucleotides in length. Their secondary structure includes four short double-helical elements and three loops (D, anti-codon, and T loops). The record is from RNAcentral. RNAcentral also lists the same sequence under 2 other names. Lineage: Bacteria; Pseudomonadati; Nitrospirota.